GUGUACCGACAUGAUUGUCUACUUAUUUUCCAGACCUUAAAGUAUGAAUUACAUUUAAAUGGUUGAUCUGAGCUCUUUGUUGUGGUCUUUGAUUGUUUUGAGUUCUAGGAUUAGCCUCGGGUUGACUUGAUAGUUUACCUUUUUUUUUCACUUACAGCCAUGGCUAAUUGACCUAAUUGCAUCUCUAAACGGAUAAUAGCUUGGGUGUUGAAAGUUAAAAGCUGGCCUGUGGUCUGCAU
RNAcentral lists this long non-coding RNA (239 nucleotides) under Elaeis guineensis (African oil palm). RNAcentral's name for it is "long non-coding RNA (EGUI_LNC063384)". The record is from RNAcentral. Lineage: Eukaryota; Viridiplantae; Streptophyta; Magnoliopsida; Arecales; Arecaceae.